Molecule: ribosomal RNA, 464 nt
Filed under: uncultured bacterium
Lineage: Bacteria
Description: bacterial SSU rRNA
Rfam family: Bacterial small subunit ribosomal RNA
Source: RNAcentral
GACGAACGCNGGCGGCGUGCCUAAUACAUGCAAGUAGAACGCUGAAGGGAGAGCUUGCUCUUCUGGAUGAGUUGCGAACGGGUGAGUAACGCGUAGGUAACCUGCCUGGUAGCAGGGGAUAACUAUUGGAAACGAUAGCUAAUACCGCAUAACAUUGACUAUUGCAUGAUAGUCAAUUGAAAGGUGCAAAUGCACCACUACCAGAUGGACCUGCGUUGUAUUAGCUAGUUGGUGGGGUAACGGCUCACCAAGGCGACGAUACAUAGCCGACCUGAGAGGGUGAUCGGCCACACUGGGACUGAGACACGGCCCAGACUCCUACGGGAGGCAGCAGUAGGGAAUCUUCGGCAAUGGACGGAAGUCUGACCGAGCAACGCCGCGUGAGUGAAGAAGGUUUUCGGAUCGUAAAGCUCUGUUGUAAGAGAAGAACGAGUGUGAGAGUGGAAAGUUCACACNGNGACGGU